UACAGAGGGUGCGAGCGUUGUUCGGAAUUACUGGGCGUAAAGCGCGCGCAGGCGGCCUUUUAAGUCUGCUGGUGAAAUGCCGGGGCUCAACCCCGUGCCCGCCACAGAUACUGGGAGGCUGGAGACGAGUAGAGGCAAGCGGAAUUCCGGGUGUAGCGGUGGAAUGCGUAGAGAUCCGGAAGAACACCGGAGGCGAAGGCGGCUUGCUGGGCUCGGUCUGACGCUGAGGCGCGAAAGCCAGGGGAGCGAACGGG
RNAcentral lists this ribosomal RNA (254 nucleotides) under uncultured bacterium. RNAcentral describes it as "partial 16S ribosomal RNA". It matches the Rfam family "Bacterial small subunit ribosomal RNA", at positions 524 to 776 of the family's 1533-position model. The record is from RNAcentral.